GUGCUUGCUUCGGCAGCACAUAUACUAAAAUUGGAAUGAUACAGAGGAGAUUAGCAUGGCCCCUGCGCAAGGAUGACAUGCAAAAGAUCCACACCAUUAGAUA
Suncus etruscus (white-toothed pygmy shrew) is the source of this 103-nucleotide small nuclear RNA. The record is from RefSeq and is a predicted model, not a curated record. NCBI's taxonomy places the organism in Eukaryota, Metazoa, Chordata, Mammalia, Eulipotyphla, Soricidae.